This is a long non-coding RNA of Pomacea canaliculata, 653 nucleotides long. RefSeq lists it as uncharacterized. Lineage: Eukaryota; Metazoa; Mollusca; Gastropoda; Architaenioglossa; Ampullariidae. The transcript has 3 exons. The record is from RefSeq and is a predicted model, not a curated record.
CAACAAUGUGCUUAAGGGUCACUGGUGGCUUAAUCUCUCUAUAAUACAGAUGAUUAUUUGUCCUGAAGCUAGUCAUUUGCGCAUACAACACACUUUCCAUGGCGUUUCUUUUUUUCUAGGAUAAUCGAAGACUGAGAUGCCAUCCAUAGGCCCUCAACGCAAUUACUACUAAUAUGCAUAUGUACUUCAAUGUAACAUAACCGUCAACAACAGCAUGCAUCUACCCAGAAAAUAACACCGGUGUUCCUCCAAUUUACAAGGAGUAUUUUUAUGACUGUUUUGUACAAAAACUUAAAACCGUUUAGUUUAAAAAAGGACUGUACAUUUAGCUGAAAUAUUAAAACAGCAUACGUUAUAAUCGACAACUACAUUUUUCCUUUCCCUAAAAUAUAUUUUAUAAAUGAAUCAAUGGGACCCGUCUGCUUUAUUAUGGUGACAAUUUUAAAAAUCAAAAAAAAACAUCACGUACGUCUCAAUACUUGACCUUAAGCAAUCAUUUAAAAAUAUUUUUUAAUAUUACAUGCACGCUGUGCACCGGAUGUAUCCAUUUGUUUUUACCCUAGAGUUUCUCAUUUCUUGUACUCCUGAAGUCGGAAGUCGUGACCCCAGGCCAUAGUCCUGGAAUAUCUGUCAAUGAUACCUACUUCUCUAGA